CCUACGUGAGGCAGCAGUGGGGAAUAUUGCACAAUGGGGGGAACCCUGAUGCAGCGACGCCGCGUGGGUGAAGGAGUAUUUCGGUAUGUAAAGCCCUAUCAGCAGGGAAGAACAAUGACGGUACCUGACUAAGAAGCACCGGCUAAAUACGUGCCAGCAGCCGCGGUAAUACGUAUGGUGCAAGCGUUAUCCGGAUUUACUGGGUGUAAAGGGAGCGCAGGCGGCGCGUUAAGCCUGGGGUGAAAGUCCGCGGCCCAACCGCGGGACUGCAUUGGGGCCUGGCUCGCUGGAGUGCCGGAGGGGGAGGAGGAAUGCCAAGUGUAGCGGUGAAAUGCGUAGAUAUGAGGAGGAACACCAGUGGCGAAGGCGGCCUACUGGAAGGAGACUGACGCUGAGGCUCGAAAGCGUGGGGAGCAAACAGGAUUAGAUACCCCUGUAGUC
Molecule: ribosomal RNA, 441 nt
Filed under: uncultured bacterium
Lineage: Bacteria
Description: partial 16S ribosomal RNA
Rfam family: Bacterial small subunit ribosomal RNA
Source: RNAcentral